RNAcentral lists this ribosomal RNA (497 nucleotides) under uncultured bacterium. RNAcentral's name for it is "partial 16S ribosomal RNA". It matches the Rfam family "Bacterial small subunit ribosomal RNA", at positions 28 to 507 of the family's 1533-position model. The record is from RNAcentral.
GAUGAACGCUGGCGGCGUGCCUAAUACAUGCAAGUCGAGCGAACCGACGAGGAGCUUGCUCCUCUGACGUUAUCGGCGGACGGGUGAGUCACACGUGGAUAACCUAACUCUCAGACUGGGAUAACAUCGGGAAACCGGGGCUACUACCGGAUAAUAUAUUGACCCGCGUGGUUCCAUAGUGAAAGACGGUUUUGCUGUCACUUAUAGAUGGCUCCGCGCCUCAUGAGCUAGUUGGUAAAGUAACGGCUUAGCAAGGCGGCGAGUCUUAGCCGACCUGAGAGGGUGGACGGCUAGACUGGAUGUGAGACACGGUCCAGACACCGACGGGGAGCAGCGGUAGGGAAUCUUCCGCAAGGGAGGAGUGCCGGACGUUGCAACGCCGCGGGAGGGAUGAAGGAGUACUGAUGGGAAAACGAUGUAAGUAGUGAAGAAGAAAUGUUUAAGUAACCAUGAUCGUCUUGACGGUACCGAAACAGAAAGCCACGGCUAACUACGUG